This 468-nucleotide ribosomal RNA is filed under the name uncultured bacterium. RNAcentral's name for it is "partial 16S ribosomal RNA". It matches the Rfam family "Bacterial small subunit ribosomal RNA", at positions 28 to 507 of the family's 1533-position model. The record is from RNAcentral.
GACGAACGCUGGCGGCGUGCUCAACACAUGCAAGUCGAACGGAAAGGCCCUGCUUUUGUGGGGUGCUCGAGUGGCGAACGGGUGAGUAACACGUGAGUAACCUGCCCUUGACUUUGGGAUAUCUUCCGGAAACUGGGGCUAAUACCGGAUAGGAGCUCCUGCUGCAUGGUGGGGGUUGGAAAGCUUCGGCGGUUGGGGAUGGACUCGCGGCUUAUCAGCUUGUUGGUGGGGUAGUGGCUUACCAAGGCUUUGACGGGUCGCCGGCCUGAGAGGGUGACCGGCCACAUUGGGACUGAGAUACGGCCCAGACUCCUACGGGAGGCAGCAGUGGGGAAUAUUGCACAAUGGGCGGAAGCCUGAUGCAGCAACGCCGCGUGCGGGAUGACGGCCUCCGGGUUGUAAACCGCUUUCGCCUGUGACGAAGCGUGAGUGACGGUAAUGGGUAAAGAAGCACCGGCUAACUACGUG